RNAcentral lists this ribosomal RNA (431 nucleotides) under uncultured bacterium. Its description in RNAcentral is "partial 16S ribosomal RNA". It matches the Rfam family "Bacterial small subunit ribosomal RNA", at positions 29 to 507 of the family's 1533-position model. The record is from RNAcentral.
AAUGAACGCUGGCGGCAGGCCUAACACAUGCAAGUCGAACGCCCCGCAAGUGGAGCGGUAGACUGGUGAGUAACGCGUGGGAACGUACCCAUGUCUUCGGCAUAGCCUCGGGUUACGGGAAUUAAUACCGAAUGUGCCCUAUGCGGGAAAGGUAUAUCGGAUAAGGAUCGGCGCGCGGUGGAUUAGCUAGUUGGUGGGGUAAAGGCCUACCAAGGCGACGAUCCAUAGCUGGUCUGAGAGGAUGAUCAGCUACAUUGGGACUGAGACACGGCCCAAACUCCUACGGGAGGCAGCAGUGGGGAAUAUUGGACGAUGGGCGCAAGCCUGAUCCAGCCAUGCCGGGUGAGUGAUGAAGGCCUUAGGGUUGUAAAGCUCUUUCACCGGAGAAGAUAAUGACGGUAUCCGGAGAAGAAGCCCCGGCUAACUUCGUG